Oryzias melastigma (Indian medaka) is the source of this 244-nucleotide long non-coding RNA. RefSeq lists it as uncharacterized. The record is from RefSeq and is a predicted model, not a curated record. The transcript has 3 exons. Lineage: Eukaryota; Metazoa; Chordata; Actinopteri; Beloniformes; Adrianichthyidae.
UGCAAGUUUUCUUUCUGUAUUAGGUCAUGGAGAAGAUCAGCUUUAUAGGAGAAUGGUUGUGUGACCCACAAAGACGCAUUUGGACGCACUUCCCUUGUUUCCUCAGGAGGAAAAGUGCAUCACAACAGGCUGUGACCCUUGAUAUUAUGGUGCUGUGAGCCUCAUCAAGUCAACACCUCCAGCAGGCAAUAAAGCUGAUUUGCAGCCUCCAGAGAUGCAACUUGAAGUAAUAAUAAAAGUCAAC